CCGCCCUGGGUGGCUCGCGCUCCCUUCCUGCGUCCUCCAUCGGUUCUCUCGUGAGUCCGUGGUCUCCUGUUCAGUUACCAGCCUUGCUUUCCCAGCUUGCGACUCGCGUCCUGGGCACGAAGAGACUGGACUCCGAUUCGUCGCCUGAGCCUGUCCUCUGAGAAGUUCAAGGUACUUUGCACAAUUUCAGCCACCCAGGCCAGUGUCCUCCAGCAAUGGCUCCCAUCCAGAAGAAGCUGGUAAUUGUCGGUGACGGAGUCUGUGGCAAGACGUGCUUGCUCAUUGUCUUCAGCAAGGAGCAGUUCCCAGAGGGGUACGCACCCUCAGGGUUUCAGAACUAUGUGUCCCGUAUCGAGGUGGAUGGGAAACGGGUAGAGCUGACUUUGUGGGACACAGCCAGGCAGAAAGAUGAUGAUCACCUGAGGUCCCUCUUUCAGUCAGACACUGGUGUUAUACUUACAUGUUUCUUCAUUGGCAACCCUGAUAGUUUAGAAAACAUCCCAGAGAAAUGGACACCAAAAGUCAAGCAUUUCUGUCCCAAUGUGCCCAUCAUCCUGGUGGGGACCAAGAACGAUCUUAGGAAUGAUGUGCACACAAGAUAGGAGCUAGCCAAGAGGAAGCAGAAGCGGGUGAGACGCGAAGAGGGCAGAGAUAUGGUCAAGGGGACUGGCGCUUUGGGGUACAUGGAGUGUUCAGCAAAGACCAAAGAUGGAGUGAGAGAGGUUUUUGAAGUGGCUGCGAAAGCUGCUCUGCAAGCCAGAGGUGGGAAGAAAAACUCUGGGUGACUUGUCUUGUGAAACCUUGCUGCAGGCACAGCGCUUAAGAGGUGAAUUUUGAAGUGCUGUUGAUUAAUCUUAGUGGAUGAACACUGGCUUUUUUCAUUUAUAUGCAGUUUACCUAAGAUUACAAAUUUAAGGCACGUCAUCUUGUUACCAGUAUUUAGAAACCAACCCUGAUUCUUAAUGAUGUUAAACCUGUCAGGCCUACCAGGAUCCUUUUGCCACUACUCUAACAACCCUCCUCUACACUUCUGCCUGACACACCAUGGCAAAUUCAAAGAAUUUCUUAACUUCUUGCUUCUGUCUAGAAAGAGGAACAGUUGGUAACUUUGCAAAUUAGGCUGCAGCUACUUUAUAACUAACCUUCCCUGCCUAUCAUCUGUCAACAGCAAGGUACUCUCAUGAGACACAACUUCAGUGCUUUACUCUUUAACAGGUUUCAUUGGCAUAGCUCUGGCGUGGGUAUCUGGUUUUUUGAAAAUGGAUUCUACAAGAAAGGCCCAAGGCCAUACACCUGUGGCACAGUUACAGUUCUGUGGUUUCAUGUUGGUUACCUUAGAGUUACUGUGUAAUUAGUGCCACUUAAUGUAUGUUACCAAAAUGACUAUAUCUACCCCAGACUACAUGUUGUAUUUUUUUAUAAUUGAAUUUCCUAGUAUUGACAUUUGUUAUCCCCAAAG
This is a non-coding RNA of Macaca mulatta (Rhesus monkey), 1459 nucleotides long. The record is from RefSeq and is a predicted model, not a curated record. Lineage: Eukaryota; Metazoa; Chordata; Mammalia; Primates; Cercopithecidae.